UACGGAGGGGGCAAGCGUUGUUCGGAAUUACUGGGCGUAAAGGGCGCGUAGGCGGCUUACCAAGUCAGGCGUGAAAUUCCCGGGCUCAACCUGGGGGCUGCGCUUGAUACUGGUGAGCUUGAAUGCGGGAGAGGAUAGUGGAAUUCCCAGUGUAGAGGUGAAAUUCGUAGAUAUUGGGAAGAACACCGGUGGCGAAGGCGGCUAUCUGGCCCGUAAUUGACGCUGAGGCGCGAAAGCGUGGGGAGCAAACAGG
Molecule: ribosomal RNA, 253 nt
Filed under: uncultured bacterium
Lineage: Bacteria
Description: partial 16S ribosomal RNA
Rfam family: Bacterial small subunit ribosomal RNA
Source: RNAcentral